AAUUUUCGGAUAUCUGGAACUAAAAGCCUUCCUUUCUCUCUCACAUUUGAGAAACCCUAGCCGCUCUCUACAUUGUUCAUGAAUCCUUCACCUGCCUUUCCACUUCAAAACCGCAUCUACAAUCAGGUUCUAAAACCUGACAUAGAAAGGAUCCCUCGGUUCGAUUUGUUAUCAUCCCCAACAUAAUCUAUCUUGUACAGUUCGUCAUACAUUCUAUAACGAUCUUCUCCAACACUUGUUGCCUCUAACGCCUCUGUUGCUCCAAACUUCACUGUCUCCCUCCUUCCAAAACCUCUCCUCCAAUUCUUCAAAUCCCUUCUUCUCCGCAGUUUUGUAGAAUCCAUGUUGAAAGUAUGCAUAACAGCUUUAGUCUCUGCUUCCCUCUUCUUCGCUGCUGAUCAUGCUCUUGCAUUCAAGGGCGGAGGAGCAUAUCUUUAAAUCCCUUACUCGCUUUCCGGAAAACAACCGACAUAAACAUUGUUCUCUGUAUCACUCCAUCGUCAUUCUACUUUCAAGAUCUGCGACCUUAGUCGGCGUUGUAGUUGGCACACCGACGAUCGACUCCUCUUUGUAGACAAAUCCACAUACGCAGGUAAGAUUUUCAUGAUUUUUUUGUUAAUUAUGAGUGUGAAGUUGUCGACUGUUUCAUGUAGAAGGAAUUGAUAGCUGUUUUUGGUUUAUUAUUUCGGAUCUGGACAUGAUUUCGUCUCAAACAUAUAUCAUCAGUUAUGCUUUUGCAUUUUGGCUUGCUUUUUAAACUCAAAACUUCAUAUUGAUGGCUGUUUUGGGUUAAUUAUUUCGUAUUUGACCAUGGUUACUCUUUGUCUUUCACAUACACACUGCAUGGAUAUUUGAUAGAUCUGGAAUCAGAUCUCCUCUCUCUCUCUCACUCCCUCUACUACAAAAACGGGAUAGCACAAGUAACAACAACAACUAACUCAAGGUUUAUUUCGAGUUCUAUUUAUUUAUAAUUAUAUUUUUUUAAGUUCCAGAUUGGCUUAUUGUGAUUUAACUCCCCUGUUAUAUAUCUUCAUGUAAUGAUUUGUUUUGAAGCACAGAGUGUAUUUUAGCUUUCAUAUUUUCAGUCCAAAUAUGUAAUUUAACUUUAAGUUUUGUGGGUCUUUAAUACUUUAAAGCUUUUUUUAGUUAUUUUUUUUGCGGUUUUGAUCGAUUAAGGUGAAGAGUGGUGCCCAAAUGGGCUUCUGAUUAAGAUGAAUGAUAAAUGUAACUGUAUAUUACUUUUA
This is a non-coding RNA of Lactuca sativa (garden lettuce), 1244 nucleotides long. Lineage: Eukaryota; Viridiplantae; Streptophyta; Magnoliopsida; Asterales; Asteraceae. The record is from RefSeq and is a predicted model, not a curated record.